GUUUAAUCCCGUGAGCAAGCUUGAGAGACCGCGAAACCAGCCGCACGACUUGAUUCAUCUUCUUCUUCCACACUGAAUCCAUGAAUCUUCUCCUUCCUUCUUUGAUACAUCUAUGGAUAUUUGAGAUUUUCAAUCGAAGUGAAGGACUGCUUUGUGAAUCUUCGAUCCCGACGUUUUCUAUUCUCAUCUAAUCAAUGGAAACGUUUCGCCUAAGGCGGUGCCUCUACUCCUAUAAAAAAUUUGAAAUCAGGCAGAUGUUCUUCCACCUUGGAGCUGAUUUGGAUGUCAGAGCAACCAACGUGAGAAAUGUAAGCAGCUUAUCAUCUGCUCAAAUACUACUUAAUUUUAAAUUAAACUAAGUUCAUGUAACCCAGUAUUUCAUGAUCUUUCUAUGUCGAAUAAGAAGAAGGCUAAGGUUCUUUAAUAUAUUCUCAAGAGUAGGGUUUGGUUGCUGAGAUGACAACAAGAAAAUAUCGGAAGCAACAUAGGUUCUGGUUCAGCGAUUGGGUCAGUUGAAAGCAAAAAAAGAAACUAUUGUAGAAACAGAAGAAAGAAGAAAAUCCAAAAGCUAAAGCCAUGAAGAUUAUCUCUGAAAUGGAAUCUUAAUCAAAUGACAGUGAUUGUGGCAUAGGAAAAGUUGUUGCCAUGAGCUCUUUCAGAAAUAAGGCUAAACGGAUUCUCGAGUUGUUACAGCCAUAAUCUGGAGUAGAAAGCUUCCUAGAAUGUAAGAAUACCGAUAAAGCAUUGAAGCUUGCUCUACUGUAGUCAGCUGCUGCAUCGAUAGCCUUUUGCUCAAUUGUUAAUCCUGGACAGAUACUGAAGAAUGUAGAAGUAGUUUCAGUUGUUUGAUUGCCCCUGAAAAGAGUAGAAGUUUGUAUUGGAAGAAAGUACAAGAAGUAAGUAAGAGUUACAUAAGUUUCAGAAGGCAAUGACGGUCAUGGAAGGGUCUGUUGUGGCUUGCAGGUGCUUGGGAAAGUGAUGAUAUUGUCAAAAUGAUAAAUUACUAAACGAGUCUAAUCUGAUGACUUUCUGUUAACACCUUCCAAGUCCGUUUGUAUUGGAGUUGAGCUGUGGAAAGGAAACUAUUGUGGUGAAAGGAUACUUUAACUAUCUAUAUAAUACGCUCUGAUCUUCCUCUCUCUCCCUCUGGACUGUCAGAAUCUGUACCAAUUUUUUUCUCUGUUGCUAAUGAUAGAACUCAAAGCAAAAUGAAAUUAAGAUGGUAUUUUAAAAAUGUAGAACCUAAACCGACAGGGUU
This is a long non-coding RNA of Brassica oleracea var. oleracea, 1258 nucleotides long. RefSeq lists it as uncharacterized. The record is from RefSeq and is a predicted model, not a curated record. The transcript has 4 exons. Lineage: Eukaryota; Viridiplantae; Streptophyta; Magnoliopsida; Brassicales; Brassicaceae.